RNAcentral lists this long non-coding RNA (291 nucleotides) under Elaeis guineensis (African oil palm). Its description in RNAcentral is "long non-coding RNA (EGUI_LNC050469)". The record is from RNAcentral. Lineage: Eukaryota; Viridiplantae; Streptophyta; Magnoliopsida; Arecales; Arecaceae.
ACUCUUACUUUAGUUUAUUCCCUAGCACACCACUUUGAGAUGUGUGUGGGAUAUUCUAGGUAUGGCGAAGUAUGUAUGGUGGUUGUGAGUGGUCAAUAAAGAAUCGGUCACUCCUUGUAGGAGGAGAGAACCUUCUAUAUGAUCUCAUAGGAUGAUGACUCUGAGGGUCUCUGGCCAAAGCAAGGAUGAACAGUAGAGAAUAUUUUUACUAGUUCAUCAAUCGAGUCAUUAUCAUCAGAUUGAGAUACAUAUGGAUAGGUAUUGGGUUUGACAUAUUUCUAUACCCAUGGC